CCCUUAGAUGUUCUGGGCCGCACGCGCGCUACACUGACGAAUGCAACGAGCUUAUAACCUUGGCCGAAAGGUCUGGGUAAUCUCCAAAUUUCGUCGUGAUGGGGAUAGAUUAUUGCAAUUAUUAAUCUUCAACGAGGAAUGCCUAGUAAGCGCAAGUCAUCAGCUUGCGUUGAUUACGUCCCUGCCCUUUGUACACACCGCCCGUCGCUCCUACCGAUUGGGUGUGCUGGUGAAAUGUUCGGAUCGGCCGUUUGUCGCGGUUUCCGCGGCUCGUGGCUGAGAAGUUCAUUAAACCCUCCCACCUAGAGGAAGGAGAAGUCGUAACA
RNAcentral lists this ribosomal RNA (326 nucleotides) under uncultured eukaryote. Its description in RNAcentral is "partial 18S ribosomal RNA". It matches the Rfam family "Eukaryotic small subunit ribosomal RNA", at positions 1470 to 1796 of the family's 1831-position model. The record is from RNAcentral.